RNAcentral lists this non-coding RNA (31 nucleotides) under Mus musculus (house mouse). The record is from RNAcentral. Lineage: Eukaryota; Metazoa; Chordata; Mammalia; Rodentia; Muridae.
UAUCAUAGGACUCACUUCGCCUCACAGGGUU